AUUGAACGCUGGCGGAAUGCUUUACACAUGCAAGUCGAACGGCAGCACGGGAGCUUGCUCCUGGUGGCGAGUGGCGAACGGGUGAGUAAUACAUAGGAACAUACCCAGUAAUGGGGGAUAACGCCGAGAAAUCGGUGCUAAUACCGCAUACGCCCUACGGGGGAAAGCGGGGGAUCUUCGGACCUCGCGUUAUUGGAUUGGCCUAUGUCUGAUUAGCUAGUUGGUGAGGUAAAGGCUCACCAAGGCUUCGAUCAGUAGCUGGUCUGAGAGGAUGAUCAGCCACACUGGAACUGAGACACGGUCCAGACUCCUACGGGAGGCAG
This 323-nucleotide ribosomal RNA is filed under the name uncultured Pseudomonadota bacterium. RNAcentral describes it as "bacterial SSU rRNA". It matches the Rfam family "Bacterial small subunit ribosomal RNA", at positions 30 to 351 of the family's 1533-position model. The record is from RNAcentral. Lineage: Bacteria; Pseudomonadati; Pseudomonadota.